AUUGCAAGAAAAUAUUUUUCCUAAGCUUGUGGAUUGCCUAUUCCUCUUCAAAUCUUUCAUUUACAUGCCAUGUUUGCCUGAUAAGACACAGGCAGAUUUGUCAAGAAAUGCAGCAAAAAAAAGAUUCUUCCAUGGUUUGUUUGUCAGGAAUGGUAACCUCAAAAUUUGGAAAGUGACAUGCCUUGACAGCUUUUGAAGUACUGAAAGAACUUUUUUUUCUUGGUUGAGCUCCAUUUAAGUUCUCCCUUUCCUUGUUCAGUUAAAAGGCUUU
This is a long non-coding RNA of Zingiber officinale, 271 nucleotides long. RefSeq lists it as uncharacterized. The transcript has 4 exons. The record is from RefSeq and is a predicted model, not a curated record. NCBI's taxonomy places the organism in Eukaryota, Viridiplantae, Streptophyta, Magnoliopsida, Zingiberales, Zingiberaceae.